RNAcentral lists this ribosomal RNA (600 nucleotides) under Halomonas sp. YIM C300. Its description in RNAcentral is "bacterial SSU rRNA". It matches the Rfam family "Bacterial small subunit ribosomal RNA", at positions 33 to 624 of the family's 1533-position model. The record is from RNAcentral. Lineage: Bacteria; Pseudomonadati; Pseudomonadota; Gammaproteobacteria; Oceanospirillales; Halomonadaceae.
ACGCUGGCGGCAGGCUUAACACAUGCAAGUCGAGCGGUAACAGGGGGAGCUUGCUCCCCGCUGACGAGCGGCGGACGGGUGAGUAAUGCUUAGGAAUCUGCCCAGUAGUGGGGGAUAGCCCGGGGAAACCCGGAUUAAUACCGCAUACGCCCUUUGGGGGAAAGCAGGGGAUCUUCGGACCUUGCGCUAUUGGAUGAGCCUAAGUCGGAUUAGCUAGUUGGUGGGGUAAAGGCCCACCAAGGCGACGAUCCGUAGCUGGUCUGAGAGGAUGAUCAGCCACAUCGGGACUGAGACACGGCCCGAACUCCUACGGGAGGCAGCAGUGGGGAAUAUUGGACAAUGGGGGCAACCCUGAUCCAGCCAUGCCGCGUGUGUGAAGAAGGCUUUCGGGUUGUAAAGCACUUUCAGUGAGGAGGAAGGCUUUCAGAUUAAUACUCUGGAAGAUUGACGUUACUCACAGAAGAAGCACCGGCUAACUCCGUGCCAGCAGCCGCGGUAAUACGGAGGGUGCAAGCGUUAAUCGGAAUUACUGGGCGUAAAGCGCGCGUAGGUGGUUUGAUAAGCGAGAUGUGAAAGCCCCGGGCUUAACCUGGGAACGGC